GAUGAACGCUGGCGGCGUGCCUAAUACAUGCAAGUCGAGCGAACAGACGAGGAUCUUGCUCCUCGGACGUGAGCGGCGGACGUGUGAGUAACACGUGUAUAACCUACCUAUAAGACUGGUAUAACUUCGAGAAACCGGAUCUAAUACCGUAUAAUAUAUUGAACCGCAUGGUUCGAUAGUGAAAGACGGUGUUGCUGGCACGUAUAGAUGGAUCCGCGCCGCAUUAGCUAGUUGUUAAGUUAACGGGUUACCAAGGCAACGAUGCGUAGGCGACCUGUCAGGGUGAUCGCCCACCUGAGAAGUGAGACAGGGUCAAGAGUACUACGGGAGGCAGCAGAAGGGAACGUGCGGCAAUGGGCGAAAGUCUGACGGAGCAAGGCCGAGUGAGUGAUGACGGUCUUCGGAUCGUAAAACUCUGUUAUUAGGGGAGAACCACUGUGUAAGUAAAUAUGCACGUAUUGACGGUAACUAAUCAGAAAGCAGCGGCUAACUACGUG
RNAcentral lists this ribosomal RNA (497 nucleotides) under uncultured bacterium. RNAcentral's name for it is "partial 16S ribosomal RNA". It matches the Rfam family "Bacterial small subunit ribosomal RNA", at positions 28 to 507 of the family's 1533-position model. The record is from RNAcentral.